AGCCUGUCGUGGGACUUUACCUUGUAAUUGUUGACUGACUGCAAAACCGUUCAAUCAAGAAGAGCCUUUGGCUCAUUUUCAGGACCAGCAGAGAAGGGGGUGGAGGAGCUGAAUUUCCCUCUGUGUCCAUGCUUGGCAGCAUCAGGAGCUAAACACAGAGGUACCCAGGAUCUCCACUUCAUGCUUGGAAACUCCCUACCACUCAGGGUCACCCAAUGUAGGCAAAGACCAGUCCAGCUUGCACUCAGCACUCAGUCAGGAUAAAUGUAUCUUUGAAGCCCAGCCACCAUGUUUGGAGGAAGCCUGGACCAUAGGUAGAGGCCAUGGUCUAGGUGUUCAGCCCACAGCCCAGGUAAGACCCAGGUAAGUUCUAACAGCCAUCAUCAGCUAUUAGCUGGUAAGAGAGGGAACCUUUGGAUAAUGCCAGUCCUCAAACUUUCAGCUGCCCUGGGGGACACCAAGUGGAGAAGAAAUAAGCUGUCCCUCCUAAACCCUGCACACGUAAUACAUUUGUAAGCAAAAUAAAUGUUAUUGUUUCAACAGCUAAGUUUUGGGAUGGUUGGUUACAUAGCAAUAGACAACUGGGAAAAACAAAAUAUUCUAUUCCUAUUUUGUACCCAUGUCACCAUACAAGCACCACCCUAUAAUAAAGAGAGCAAUUAACAAGCAAAGCAGAACUUAGAGGCGGGAAAGCUUUGGAUGUUUCUCUUCAAGAAUCUCACCCUGCAUUCUGAUCUUGGGCUCCUUUGGCGUCGUAUAACCUACAACAUGACAAUUCAGCUCUAUACAAUCGUACCACUUUAAAAGUACAUGUGGGCCUGGAGCGGUGGCUCACACCUGU
This 841-nucleotide long non-coding RNA is filed under the name Homo sapiens (human). RNAcentral describes it as "HSALNT0341410". Lineage: Eukaryota; Metazoa; Chordata; Mammalia; Primates; Hominidae. The record is from RNAcentral.